This 73-nucleotide transfer RNA is filed under the name Periconia digitata. Its description in RNAcentral is "tRNA-Phe". It matches the Rfam family "tRNA". From Rfam's summary of the family: Transfer RNA (tRNA) molecules are approximately 80 nucleotides in length. Lineage: Eukaryota; Fungi; Ascomycota; Dothideomycetes; Pleosporales; Periconiaceae. The record is from RNAcentral.
GCCCAGGUAGCUCAAGUGGUAGAGCGAAACUUUGAAGCAGUUUAGGUUAUAAGUUCAAAUCUUAUCUUGGGCA